RNAcentral lists this ribosomal RNA (502 nucleotides) under Propionibacterium sp. CJ82. RNAcentral describes it as "bacterial SSU rRNA". It matches the Rfam family "Bacterial small subunit ribosomal RNA", at positions 8 to 521 of the family's 1533-position model. The record is from RNAcentral. Lineage: Bacteria; Bacillati; Actinomycetota; Actinomycetes; Propionibacteriales; Propionibacteriaceae.
AGAGUUUGAUCCUGGCUCAGGACGAACGCUGGCGGCAGUGCUUAACACAUGCAAGUCGAACGGAAAGGCCCUGCUUUUGUGGGGUGCUCGAGUGGCGAACGGGUGAGUAACACGUGAGUAACCUGCCCUUGACUUUGGGAUAACUUCAGGAAACUGGGGCUAAUACCGGAUAGGAGCUCCUGCUGCAUGGUGGGGGUUGGAAAGUUUCGGCGGUUGGGGAUGGACUCGCGGCUUAUCAGCUUGUUGGUGGGGUAGUGGCUUACCAAGGCUUUGACGGGUAGCCGGCCUGAGAGGGUGACCGGCCACAUUGGGACUGAGAUACGGCCCAGACUCCUACGGGAGGCAGCAGUGGGGAAUAUUGCACAAUGGGCGGAAGCCUGAUGCAGCAACGCCGCGUGCGGGAUGACGGCCUUCGGGUUGUAAACCGCUUUCGCCUGUGACGAAGCGUGAGUGACGGUAUGGGUAAAGAAGCACCGGCUAACUACGUGCCAGCAGCCGCGGU